AGUACUGUGGCUUAGUGGUAGAGUGCUUGCCUAGCAUGCAUGAAGCCUUGGGUUUGAUUCCCCAGUGCCA
RNAcentral lists this transfer RNA (70 nucleotides) under Dipodomys ordii (Ord's kangaroo rat). It matches the Rfam family "tRNA". From Rfam's summary of the family: Transfer RNA (tRNA) molecules are approximately 80 nucleotides in length. The record is from Rfam by way of RNAcentral. Lineage: Eukaryota; Metazoa; Chordata; Mammalia; Rodentia; Heteromyidae.